UUCGAUCUGUUAGAGCUCGAUCAUCGCCGAUAAAAAGGCUAUGAAGAAACUGUUUGUAAGUCAACUUGAAUGUAAAGACACUCCUGAUGAGCCCAGGCUGCAUACAACAUUGGUUCAAGGCUCUGCUUCUUGCCCUCCAGAAGAUUAAGGUAUCUCAGGAGCA
Molecule: long non-coding RNA, 163 nt
Organism: Zea mays
Lineage: Eukaryota; Viridiplantae; Streptophyta; Magnoliopsida; Poales; Poaceae
Exons: 2
Source: RefSeq, a predicted model, not a curated record